CUUAGAAGUCUGAGCGCAAGAUUUCUCCUACCUUAAAACCCCCAUAUCUGGCAGUUAUAUCUUCCCCAACCCGAAAUCCACCAACAUUCAAAAUUUCAGACAGACACCAACCUAAGACCAUGUCCGCUUCAAAACCCACUUCUUACCCAUCGGUCGACAUGAACGACCUCGCCGAGAACCUCUUCCCGGAGGACGACGCCGUUUCGACAGAAAUCCCAGUUACCCAUUCCUCCGAGGACCUCCUGGUCAAAAUCCCCGGCGCUAUCGUCCACCUCAUAGAGAAGGACUCGAGCAUCGAACUCGCCCGCGGAGAACUCACCGUCGUUGGUCUCCGGCAGAACGGGAAUGUAGUCGCUGUACUCGCGCGCGUGGGAGACCAGAUUCAGUGGCCUCUGGCGAAAGACGAACCCUCCGUGAAGCUCGAUCAGUCCCACUACUUCUUCACUAUUCGGGUCCCGGCAGAUGGGUGGCCAAAAAGAGGAGAAAUUGACGACUCGACCGGGAAGAGAGGCGAAUUCGAGUUGCUGAAUUACGGGUUGACUUUGGGGUCAGCGGGGCAGGAGGGUUUGCUGAGGGAAUUUGAUCAGAUUCUGGGGAAUUACAGUUGUUUUUCGGAGGGGAAGGUUGAGGGGGUGGGGAAUUGGGAGGUUUUGGACGCCAAGGGGGAGGAGGUUGGCGAUAGGGCCGCGGCGUACUGGACUACUCUGGCUCCGAAUGUGGAGGAUUACAGCGGGAAAUGUGCGCGGUUGAUUGUGGCGGGUUCGGGGCAGAUGAUAAGGGGAAUUCUGUGGUGUGGGGAUGUGACGGUGGAUAGGUUGAAGUGGGGGAACGAGUUCUUGAAGAUGAGGAUGGGACCCACUUCGCCAUCGGAGAUUAGUCCGGAGGCCUUCAGGAGGAUCCAAAGGGUUAAGAAGUUGACCAAGAGGUCGGAGGAAGUGGCCACCGGGAUCCUUUCAGGGGUUGUCAAAGUAUCUGGAUUUUUCACGAGUUCCAUAGUUAACUCUAAAGUGGGGCAGAAGUUUUUUAGCCUUUUGCCUGGAGAAAUCAUCCUUGCUUCCUUGGAUGGAUUCAGAAAUAGGACUAGUGACAUUUCUCUUGUGCUCAAGUUUGCUGUUUGUGUUUGAAAACACAGACAAGGUCUGUGAUGCUGUGGAAGUUGCGGGAAGGAAUGUCAUGUCAACCACAUCGGUCGUCACCACUGGGCUUGUUUCACAUAGGUACGGAGAACCGGCGGGGAAGGUGACGAAUGAAGGGCUUGAUGCCGCAGGGCACGCUAUAGGGGCAGCUUGGGCCGUGUUCAAGGUGAGUAAGGCUCUGAACCCGAAGAGCGUGAUCAAGCCAACAAAGCUUGUUAAAGCUGCUGCUGAAUCCAAAUCCUCGUCCAAGUUGAAGUCCUCAAAAUAAGAAGUGAUAUGCCUCUCUUGAUAGCUGUUUGGGUUUGUAAAUGAAUGGAUUUCUCCAAAUUUAUGUUCCUUUUUUGUCAAAGUCUGAAAAUGGAGUGUGUGUGUAUCUAAAAUACGAAUGAAAAUAGUAAUUCUGAGCCUUUGCAUGCACCCAAGCGGGUCUUCUGAGAGAUUCCACGAUCAAACAUGGGAGGAUCGAUAAAUAUGCAUAUUGGUGGUCUCAUCUUUUAAAUUAGAUUAAACAUGUUGUAAUCAUCUGCGCAGAAUUUGGCAUACACAAUGAACCAGAGCAGUCUCAGUAUGCAUCGCUUUUAA
RNA transcript from Malus domestica (apple), 1718 nucleotides. It is a transcript of the gene named protein EARLY-RESPONSIVE TO DEHYDRATION 7, chloroplastic-like, with no coding region annotated. The record is from RefSeq and is a predicted model, not a curated record. Lineage: Eukaryota; Viridiplantae; Streptophyta; Magnoliopsida; Rosales; Rosaceae.